This is a long non-coding RNA of Mesocricetus auratus (golden hamster), 858 nucleotides long. RefSeq lists it as uncharacterized. Lineage: Eukaryota; Metazoa; Chordata; Mammalia; Rodentia; Cricetidae. The transcript has 2 exons. The record is from RefSeq and is a predicted model, not a curated record.
UUCACUCCUUGGUGUCCUUGCCUGCACACUGGACAGGCUAGUGGGAUGCUCAGGUGUGACACUAAACCACUGUCAGCUACGCAGACAAAGCUUCCUCCUCUCACUCUCCCCCAACUGCCCAGAGACCAUCUCUGCAUAUGACCUGUGUCACCACUCAGAGUGAGUCCUCCAGGGGCCUCGAGUCCAGCGCUAGCCCCUCUGGGCAGCACUGCCCUUGCGCUGUUCUCUGUCUUUUCGUUUCCAGUAUGCAGCUUUUCCUCCAAAGUAGUGAUGCAGACUCCAUGUUUUUACACCACCAAGUUCAAAGAAACGGCUGUGGAUACAGCCACAUCGUGCCCAGGAUUUGCUUUGGAGUAACCUGGAAUGGGUGCGGAGGAAGUGAGGCCAACCACAGGAAGAAAGGCUGAGAAGUUGACCAUUCAUGAAAUAAGCAGAGGUCUAAUUUCCAUGCGACUUGUUCUGCAUUGCUGUAAGGGUGACAUCCAAGAGUGGUCCUGCCAAAACGUCCCCACCUACAAUUCCAAACACAUAAGGAACAAACAGGUCCGGAGCGUGGGUCCCUCACAGGCCAGCCUGCUCUGUGACGAGGACUCAGGCCUCCUUGUCAGCCCAGAGCCCAGUGCCCAGGAGGGUGACCCUCACUCAGAGAACCUCGACUGAGUGACCUGAAUGCAUUGGCUGGACUUCCAGCAGCACCAGAGUCACAGGCACCCACAGCCAUGUCCGGAUUUGUAUGUGAAUGCUGGGGACUUGAACUCUUAGCCUCUGAACCAUCUUCUCAGCCCCUGUAAACUAUUUAUUCACACAGUCUUAUGCCUGCAAGUUGAAAUAAAAAUGUUUUGGAUAUAUUAAGUUAAA